Molecule: long non-coding RNA, 1135 nt
Filed under: Marmota monax (woodchuck)
Lineage: Eukaryota; Metazoa; Chordata; Mammalia; Rodentia; Sciuridae
Source: RNAcentral
CGGGAGGGUCACCAACUCUGAGCUCUUCCUGGCCCUGCAAAGUGGGCCCCCCACUCCCACUGAGUGUGGUGACAGUCGGGGGUGUGCCGAGCACCUCGCCCAGCCAAGGUGACAAGGCCAACACCAGAGGCACAGGUGAGUGGUGACGGCAGCCACCAGUGCGUUCCCAGUAGUGGUGUGUGUGUGUGAGUGUGAGAGUGUGUGAGUGUGAGUGUGUGUGUGAGUAUGUGAGUGUUAGUGUGUGUGAGUACGUGUGUGAGUGUGAGAGUGUGUGUGUGAGAGAGUGUGUGUGAGUAUGUGAGUGUUAGUGUGUGUAAGUAAGUGUGUGAGUGUGAGAGUGUGUGUGUGAGAGACUGUGAGAGUGUGUGAGUGUGAGUGUGAGUAUGUGAGUGUUAGUGUGUGUGAGUACGUGUGUGAGAGAGUGUGUGUGAGUGUGAGUGUGAGUGUGUGUGUGAGUAUGUGAGUGUUAGUGUGUGUAAGUAAGUGUGUGAGUGUGAGAGUGUGUGUGAGAGGGACUGUGUGAGAGUGUGUGUGAGUAUGUGAAUGUGAGUGUAUGAGUGUGAGUGUGUGUAUGUGUGUGAGCGUGAGAGUGUGUGUGAGAGAGUGUGUGUAUGUGAGUGUGUGUGUGUGAGAGAGAGUGUGUGAGUAUGUGAGUAUGUGUGUGUGAGUGUGUGUGAGUAUGUGAAUGUGAGUGUAUGAGUGUGUGUGUGAGUGUGUGUGAGUGUGUGUGUGAGAGUGUAUGUGAGAGUGUAUGUGAGUAUGUGAAUGUGAGUGUAUGAGUGUGUGUAUGUGUGUGAGUGUGAAAGUGUAUGAGUGUGAGUGUGUGUGUGAGAGUGUGUGCGAUUAUGUGUGUGAGAGUGUGUGUGAUUAUGUGUGUGAGUGUGAGAGUGUGUGUGAGAGAGUGUGUGUGAGUAUGUGAGUGUGUGUGUGAGAGAGUGUGUUGUGUGUGUAUGUGUGUAUGUGAGUGUGUGUAUGUGUGUGUAUGUGAAUGUGAGUGUAUGAGUGUGUGUGUGUGAGAGUGUGUGUGAUUAUGUGUGUGAGAGUGUGUGUGAUUAUGUGUGUGAGUGUGAGAGUGUGUGUGAGAGUGUGUGUGAGUAUGUGAGAGAGUGUGUUGUGUGCGUGUGAUUAUGUGUGU